This 303-nucleotide ribosomal RNA is filed under the name uncultured bacterium. RNAcentral's name for it is "bacterial SSU rRNA". It matches the Rfam family "Bacterial small subunit ribosomal RNA", at positions 355 to 675 of the family's 1533-position model. The record is from RNAcentral.
UGGGGAAUAUUGCACAAUGGGGGAAACCCUGAUGCAGCGACGCCGCGUGAGUGAAGAAGUAAUUCGUUACGUAAAGCUCUAUCAGCAGGGAAGAGAGUGACGGUACCUGAGUAAGAAGCCCCGGCUAACUACGUGCCAGCAGCCGCGGUAAUACGUAGGGGGCAAGCGUUAUCCGGAUUUACUGGGUGUAAAGGGAGCGUAGACGGCGAAGAAAGUCUGGAGUGAAAGCCCGCGGCUUAACCGCGGAACUGCUUUGGAAACUUUUUGGCUGGAGUACCGGAGAGGUAAGCGGAAUUCCUAGUG